Molecule: ribosomal RNA, 290 nt
Filed under: uncultured stramenopile
Lineage: Eukaryota
Description: partial 18S ribosomal RNA
Rfam family: Eukaryotic small subunit ribosomal RNA
Source: RNAcentral
UGGGUAAUCUUUGAACGUGAAUCGUGAUGGGGAUAGAUGAUUGCAAUUAUUCAUCUUCAACGAGGAAUUCCUAGUAAACGCAAGUCAUCAGCUUGCAUUGAUUACGUCCCUGCCCUUUGUACACACCGCCCGUCGCACCUACCGAUUGAAUGGUCCGGUGAAAUCUUCGGAUCUGAGAGAUGUCUGAUUAAUUUCGGACGCCUUUUAGAAAAGUUGCUUAAACCUUACCAUUUAGAGGAAGGUGAAGUCGUAACAAGGUUUCCGUAGGUGAACCUGCGGAAGGAUCAUUA